Bombus impatiens (common eastern bumble bee) is the source of this 1484-nucleotide long non-coding RNA. RefSeq lists it as uncharacterized. The transcript is spliced from 4 exons. The record is from RefSeq and is a predicted model, not a curated record. Lineage: Eukaryota; Metazoa; Arthropoda; Insecta; Hymenoptera; Apidae.
CCUUGUUUGUAGUUUUUACCGGGUGUCGGUGGUUAUAAGUUUGCUGGAAGCUCGCUUAUGCUAAUAUCUCUGCUAUACAUAUCGUAUAAAUAUUGAAACAGUAUAAUUAAUAGGAUUGCGAGAAUCGUCUGAUGUCAGUUACCGAUACCUGCUGAACUCAAGUUUGUUAUAAAUACUGAUUGUGAGACAGGGGAAUCGAAUCGUAACCCUGGGACACGGUGACCGAUUGCAGCGAUCGAGUGCUCAAUGGACUCAGACAGUUCUGCACGGGGAAAAACGAAAGACGGUGGAACGUGCGAGGAGAUACUGUCUUCCAAAAGAAAUUAGUAAGACAAAAGGAACAAUUCUACUUUCAAACGAUCUCUACUAGAGAAAACAACGACCUGGACUCAGCGUAAUUGCAUUCUUCCCUGGCGACUCGGUGCUGGAAAAUCGAGACUUGGCCAGUGAGGCGAGAUGAGACUCGAUUGUCUGGUCCAAGGUGCGCGGAUUGGACGACUUUCUCCGAUAGUUCGAACAGUACCGGUACCAGGAAAUCGCCUCAGGAGUGGAAAGGAAACCACCGAGCGGAUACCAUUGGAGGAGCAGGAGGUGACGAGACCGAAAUCGGCGACGGUGGAACCAUGAAGCUGGCGCGUGACUCUUGAACCGUGCGUGAAAACUACGAGAUAAGGCGGAAAGCGGCACGGCGUCGGCCGGUUGGAAAGCUGCAAUUUCGUCGCAGCGCCUCAAGAAAAAGAGACGAGAGAGGAAAACGAACAAGAUACGAGUCUGAGCCGCGCUUAUGGCACGUCUGCGGCGAGCCAAGAUUGCGUUUUCCGGCUGUGAAAAUUUCCAGAAACCCACAACAAAACCCCGACACCCUGUGAAAGAGGAUCAGCUUGGAAGGUUUAGCUAAUAUUAAAUUAUAAUUUACCACUGCAACCAGAUAUAUUAACUAUUAUUUCGUAACGUCGAUUUUAUCCUAUUUGCAUAUUACACGGUAUUAAUUACUGUUGCAAAUAUGGUAGUUGUCGUACCGUGGAAUCGUACUAACCGAUAUGUAUUAUUUUGCUCUACGAACACCAGCAUUGCAAGUUUGCUCGGUAAAUGUACAACUUCGGGGUCAUUCAUUUUGCGCUGAGUUCCUAACUCCUGUCUUUCGGCUUUUUGUAAGCGGUUAGUAUAGGUCGCGUAGGUGAUGUGUCAAGAUUAAUAUCGCAGGAUUUUAGACCAACAUAUGGCAAACGUGUUUUCUGCCAUCUCGUUUAAAGGCCAACUUUUCUAGAGCUAUCCAAUUUUAGUCGUUGAAAUGGUCUUGGUGGAUUAAGAGUACGUCGGAACACGGUGGAGUAAUCUCGCGUUACUUCAGGACCGAUUCCCUGCAAAUUUAACUCUUAACUCUCGUCUUAGAGACAUGUGCAGCGUAUAAUAAAGUUUUUAGUACUAUAUUAGUACUAUAGUUAGUACAUUUAAUAUUAGUAGUAGUAUACGUAUAAUCAAGA